GGCUUAAUGGUCUAGUGGUAUGAUUCUCGCUUUGGGUGCGAGAGGUCAUGGGUUCAAUUCCCAUUUGAGCCC
Molecule: transfer RNA, 72 nt
Organism: Taphrina deformans PYCC 5710
Lineage: Eukaryota; Fungi; Ascomycota; Taphrinomycetes; Taphrinales; Taphrinaceae
Rfam family: tRNA
About the family: Transfer RNA (tRNA) molecules are approximately 80 nucleotides in length. Their secondary structure includes four short double-helical elements and three loops (D, anti-codon, and T loops).
Source: Rfam